UGGGGAAUAUUGCACAAUGGGGGAAACCCUGAUGCAGCAACGCCGCGUGGAGGAUGACACUUUUCGGAGCGUAAACUCCUUUUAUAUCCCAAGAUAAUGACGGUAGGAUAUGAAUAAGCACCGGCUAACUCCGUGCCAGCAGCCGCGGUAAUACGGGGGGUGCAAGCGUUACUCGGAAUCACUGGGCGUAAAGAGCGUGUAGGCGGGUUUGUAAGUUGGAAGUGAAAUCCUGUGGCUCAACCAUAGAACUGCUUCCAAAACUACUUACCUAGAAUAUGGGAGAGGUAGAUGGAAUUUCUGGUGUAGGGGUAAAAUCCGUAGAGAUCAGAAGGAAUACCGAUUGCGAAGGCGAUCUACUGGAACAUUAUUGACGCUGAGACGCGAAAGCGUGGGGAGCAAACAGGAUUAGAUACCCU
Molecule: ribosomal RNA, 416 nt
Filed under: uncultured Arcobacter sp.
Lineage: Bacteria; Pseudomonadati; Campylobacterota; Epsilonproteobacteria; Campylobacterales; Arcobacteraceae
Description: bacterial SSU rRNA
Rfam family: Bacterial small subunit ribosomal RNA
Source: RNAcentral